RNAcentral lists this unclassified non-coding RNA (441 nucleotides) under Hevea brasiliensis (rubber tree). Lineage: Eukaryota; Viridiplantae; Streptophyta; Magnoliopsida; Malpighiales; Euphorbiaceae. The record is from RNAcentral.
CAUUUACAUAAAAAAUCGAGAGGAUUUUAAAAAGAAAGUAGCAAGUUUUAAAAAAAAAAAUCAAAAAAUAUGAAAAAAAUGAAAAAGAAAAUUUCAAAAUCAAAGGCUGGAAGUUUAAAACAAAAAAACUAGAGUUGUAGCUCAAAAUGAAAUCUAAACAUCCUCCAUCAAAUUCCUCGCUGCAUUCCAAUCAACAGUUGCAACUCAAAACCCCCAAUAGUUGAAUUUAUAUAGGUUUUUGAAUCACGAAUUUGAUAUUGAGCUUUUACUUCAAAUUACAAGAAUAAAGACCUGAACCUAUAAAGGUGGGAAUAUACAUCUUCAACAAAUCUACAGUGUAUUUAAAAUUUCACCUCCUUGAUAGAUAUUUCACAUUCAUCCUUAAACAAUCUUGCUUUCUCAUUCAUAAAUCUAACCCAUUCAUGAAUCUAAACUUGAUCA